UGCGCCUGCGGCGGACCAGGCGCGGGUCUUUGUGCGGCUUCGCAGGCAGCCGACCCGCGUACGGUCUGGUACAUUCCAGGAAUUACCUGGAAUUUAAUGGUUUC
This 104-nucleotide small RNA is filed under the name bovine gut metagenome. RNAcentral's name for it is "RT-5 RNA". It matches the Rfam family "RT-5 RNA". From Rfam's summary of the family: Clostridium (Firmicutes). The record is from RNAcentral.